UUCGGGGAGCUUGCUUCCUGGAGUACGGAGCGGCGCACGGGUGAGUAACACGUGGGUAACCUGCCUCGAAGAUCGGAAUAACCCCGGGAAACUGGGGCUAAUGCCGGAUACCCUUCCCGGGUCGCAUGGCCUGGGAAGAAAAAGGGUUUCCGCUUCGAGAGGGGCCCGCGGCCUAUCAGCUUGUUGGUGGGGUAACGGCCCACCAAGGCUUUGACGGGUAGCCGGCCUGAGAGGGUGAUCGGCCACAUCGGGACUGAGACACGGCCCGAACUCCUACGGGAGGCAGCAGUUGGGAAUCUUGCACAAUGGGCGAAAGCCUGAUGCAGCGAUGCCGCGUGAGGGAUGAAGCCUUUCGAGGUGUAAACCUCUUUCAGUAGGGAAGAAGCCACGGGUAACCGUGGUGACGGUACCUGCAGAAGAAGCCCCGGCUAACUACGUGCCAGCAGCCGCGGUAAUACGUAGGGUGCGAGCGUUAAUCGGAAUUACUGGGCGUAAAGCGCGCGCAGGCGGCUUCGCAAGUCAGGCGUGAAAUCCCCGGGCUUAACCUGGGAAUUGCGCUUGAAACUACGGUGCUGGAGUGCGGCAGAGGAAGGUGGAAUUCCACGUGUAGCGGUGAAAUGCGUAGAGAUGUGGAGGAACACCAAUGGCGAAGGCAGCCUUCUGGGUCGACACUGACGCUCAUGCACGAAAGCGUGGGGAGCAAACAGGA
RNAcentral lists this ribosomal RNA (709 nucleotides) under uncultured Pseudomonadota bacterium. RNAcentral's name for it is "bacterial SSU rRNA". It matches the Rfam family "Bacterial small subunit ribosomal RNA", at positions 70 to 777 of the family's 1533-position model. Lineage: Bacteria; Pseudomonadati; Pseudomonadota. The record is from RNAcentral.